UACGGGGGGGGCAAGCGUUGUUCGGAAUUACUGGGCGUAAAGGGCGCGUAGGCGGUUUGCUAAGUUGAAUGUGAAAACUCUGGGCUUAACCCAGAGCCUGCAUUCAAUACUGGCAGGCUAGAGUUCUGGAGGGGAUAGCGGAAUUCCUGGUGUAGCGGUGAAAUGCGUAGAUAUCAGGAGGAACACCGGUGGCGAAGGCGGCCUUCUGGACCGAUCUGGACGCUGAGACGCGAAAGCGUGGGGAGCAAACAGG
This 253-nucleotide ribosomal RNA is filed under the name uncultured bacterium. Its description in RNAcentral is "partial 16S ribosomal RNA". It matches the Rfam family "Bacterial small subunit ribosomal RNA", at positions 524 to 776 of the family's 1533-position model. The record is from RNAcentral.